AACAACCUACCCUAUCAAAUGGCAACACCUCACCACCCCUUCAUUUCUUGUCCACAAAGGCAGAAAGGAUAAACAUACACUAAAAAGGGGGUCCCACGAGGGAACCUUCCAGGAUGGUGCCAAGAACCCUUUUGUUUUUUAUUUUUUUAUACAUACAGGGAUCACACUCCAUUUUGGGGGCAGAUAUACACAUACACAAUAGACUCUCAGGAUAUUAUUUUUUUCACUAACCUCACGCCAUAAACACAUACCAAUAGAGAGACCAUUCUCAAUUCCAUUUGAAAAGAGACCAUCUAUCAAUACCCACUACAAUUUAUUCACAGACCCACACGUCCACUCUCAAUGAACAAAUGCAAAACACACAACACACAGUAGAAUGAAGAAAUGGGAGACGGGAGAGAGAUCGGAAAAGGAAAUCGCGAGUUAGAAAGAAACGGAGAGAGAUCAAUUGAGAGAGGUAGAGAGAAAGCAGAGAUCUGAGAGAGAAGGAGAGAAUCGGAAAAGGGGUACUGCUCCGGCAAGUUUCGCCUGAGAGAAGUCAAAAUCCAAUCUGUUCUCGUCGGUUCUCGCCGUGUUUGAGCCCGCCGGAGCUCCGGCGAUGCAAAACAGCGACCCCCAGCCCUCAAAAUCCCCCAAAAUCUUUUCUUUUUUCUUGGUUUUAGACGAGAUUCCGUCGAAGAACGUUAAGGUUGCCGGAUUCUAACUUGUUUCAUCGAUUCUAGUUACCAGCCGAGAUCGCCAGAGCUACAAGCACACGGGUUCUUCAGUUUUUCUUGUGAUUUGUGAUUCUCGAGUUAGUUUAUUCAUGCCCGUGGAUUGCUGUUCGGAUUGCAUUUCGUGAAUAUUCUGCGUUUUGGGUUUAGUAGAUAGUCGAGUUGGUAGUUUUGUUUGAGGUUCAACCCGAGGCUUCGGACACGGAUUCUGGCUUGUUUAACUGAGUAAUACAUUGAAGGUCAUUAAGGUCCAUUUCUCAUCCCUUCUUAAUUGAGCUUAAUUAUCGAUAUUUGGUGUGGUAAAUUCAUGGCACGUGAAUAUUGUUUCAUGUGAUUUGAUUAUGUUUGGAUUAUGGAUUGAUUUCAUUUGAAUAGAGUAAUUGAAGGAUUUGAAUUCGUUUGGGAUAGAUUUUAACUUGGGGAAGACGGGAAUUGAAAGGUGAUAAAGUGAAUAUUGUAGUGUUUUGAUUCAUCGAUUGUUAUUGAAUUUGAAAUGAAUGUUAAUGUUAUCGGACUCGGUAGUAUCAUGAUAAAGCUGUCAAAAGCGUAGGCAAAUAGUAGGCUUAGGUAGGCAAAUUUAGAACUUAUGGAGUGUUUGAGUGCUCGAAAUGUUUGUGGAAUGGUUUAUUUUUCGCAUAUGAAAAAUGUAUUCAUUUAGCCGGGGAAUGCCCCGGGACACAUUGUAUUUAUUCACCGGGGGAUGCCCCGACGUAUUAUGUUGGCGGAAAACAUUUGUGAUGAAGGCCCGAGGCAUUGGGUAAGCAUUGGAGCAUAGUUUAGGAUUAGUCUAGAAUAAGAUUUAUAUUUUCGUAUUUUCUUAUCUUUGGGACUGUAUAAUUCAGACUGGACACUAUAUUUUUGGAUUGUUGUUUGAUGUGUUUGUUGCUUGUUUUAUGUAUUUGUGUGGUUUAUACAUUCAUAAUGUCAAAUUAGACGAUAUACUCUACCAAGCGACCGUGGUCAAACCACGGGAUCGAGGGGUGCCUAACACCUUCCCCUCGGUCAACAGAAUUUCUUAGCCGGAAUCUCUGUUCACGGAUUAGUUUUUAGAGUCAAACCAUUUUGAAAAGGAUAUUCCAAAGGUGACUUGGCACACCGGAUUAUACCAAGUGGCGACUCUGAAUAAGAAAAAAUAAUGUAAAUAAUCCUUUUUUUUCGAAAUAAAUUUUUUCAUUUUUGUCACCUUAAUAAUAAAACCCUUUCGAACUUAAAAUCCAAUCUUUUGGAGUAUGAAAAAGGGGUGUGACAGUUCUGGCGACUCUGCUGGGGAACUAUUUCAGAAUCCGAUCUUUUUUUUGGAGUCGUAUCGGCUUUGUUUGGCAUUACGAGUGUAUAAGCAUUGUUUGUGAUUUUUGUUUAUGUUUUCACUUUUGUGCGUUUUCAUUCUCUUUGUUUAUAGUAUUUAUCCUAUGUGUUUACCACUUUUAUAUCUAACAUCAUGUGCAUAACCCGAGUCAUUCUUUCCGCAACAAGUCUCGGAGCGCACGUCGUGCGCACGAACUCUAGUUGAGUCACCUUUAUUUUAGGGUGGGAGCUGUUGGAUGUAUGGAGUAGGUGGAAAGCAAAGCAGCCACAAUCAACCAUAUGCUCCCCCGAACGGCCUUGUUAGUAAACCACAAUGUAGGUCAGCCUUUAGGUCAUUCUUAUAUACAUCAUAUUGAGACCUAGAGGGACCCACACGGCCCUUUGUAGGAAACUCACCUCUAAAGCAUCUCUACGUGCUAAAUGUUGCAUCUCUGAGAGUAAUGUGGUCAUUUGACGGACCGAUUUGGGGAAAGCAAGUGUUAGAAGUAAAGUGUGUAGACAAGAAAGUGUUGAAAAAAAAAAAGGAAAGAAAAAGGUGAAUGAAAAAGAGUUUCGUAGUUUUUAGGUUCUUUAUGGCUUUUGUUUUCCACAAUUCCACAAUUCAAAAAAAGAUUUUUUUUACUUUUUGCACUCAUUUUUCAAAAAAAAAAAAAGCAUCAAAAAGAUUUUCCUUUUGUUUCCUUUAACAAGCAUUCACAAUUCGAAAACUCCAAAAAGAUUUUUUAGGAGCUUUUUAUAAAAAAUAAAAAUGCAAAAAAGAAAAAGGUGGUAGAAGUUUUAUACAUUUCAUAUAACAAAAAUACCAAAAAAAAAUAAAUUCUUUCAUAGUUGUUGGUGUCAUUUUUUAUGUGAAGUGCCAAAUUGAAAACUCAAAAAAAAAAAAGAUUUUGUUAUGUUGUUCAUCGUAUGUCUUUGGUCGUGUCUCAAGUCAGGGUGCAAUCUGUUAUUUAAUCAUUAAUUGUCCAAUCUGGACGAACUACACACCCCUGAUUCUCCUCUUUCGGGAUGUGAGAUAUGUAGGCAACCUAUUGUUGGUUCGGGGACCUUAUUUGAAAAUUCAAAAAAAAUAAAAAAUUCUUCACUCUUUAUUAGAGUAGAUGUCAUAUAUUUCUUUAAAAGAAAACUGUAAAAAGAUUUUUCUUUAAUAGAUUCAAUUUUCAUUUUUAUAUGAAAUUCGAAAUUGAAAACCCAAAAAGAUUUUCUUUGGUAGUCAUAGGUUUUAUUUUGUAUAGGAACAAAAAAAAAAUUCAAAAAAAAGAAUUUCUUCACUCUUUAUUUAGAGUAGGUGUUUCAUAUACAUCUUCAAGAGAAAACUACAAAAAGAUUUUCCUUUAAUAGUUUCAAGUUUUAUUUUCAUAUGAAAUUCAAAAUUGAAAAACCCAAAAGGAUUUUUCUUUGGUAAUCAUAAGUUUCGUUUUGUAUAGGUAUUUUAAAAGUGAAAAAUGCAAAAAGAUUUUCGUCAAUUCUUUUGAAAAAAUGUUAUUUUCUUUUCUUCUCAAAGUUUCAAGGAAAAGAAUGAAAAAAGAGUUUAAUUGGCCAUUUUGGCAAGACUUCACGAACUAUGCACACCUGAUUCUCCUCUCUCGGGGGUGAGAUACGUAGGCGCCCUUCUUGGGUUCGGUGACCUUUUAAAAAAAAAAAAGGUUUUGAAAAAUUGUUGAACUCUAACGCAUUUGCUCUCUCUUGUCCAGUUAGUUUAAGGUGGUUGGUUUGUGGCAUUUUGGCUGGUCCCCCAUAUUGCUCCAAGACACAGAGGAAGUUAUGGCCAACAAGGAUACCGAGUUAGUGGUCACUAAUCAGAUAGGGAGUUCGGGGAAUGAGAAUGUAGAAGAUAAUGAAGAGAUUCAGAAAUUAAGGCGGCAAAUAACAGAAAUGCAUCGAGCUUGGGCUUAUGGGUUUCCGCCUCCUCCAGCUCCCACUGAUAAUCUGGAAUAUCUUUCUAGCUUGCCUCUCAUGUCACAUGCACAAUUUCUCAUUUUUGUUGAUAUGCCACAACAUGCAUCAGGAUCGACUCCAGGGCAACAAUAUCCAACCACUUCCAAUGUUCAUUUCCUCACUCCCCAAUCCAAGACUACCACAUACUCGGCUCCAGCUGUUGUUCAUGCUUUUACGGCGCCACCCCCACCUGAAGCUCCUACUUUUGAUGUUCAUCCACAAGUUGUGCCUCCCUACUCUACAAGAGAGCCUGCAUUGAAUAUUUUUAGUGAUCAGUAUUAUGCUCUCGAGCCUACAUUUAAGUCGACUAGUCCAUACGAUUGCCCUCAACUGCCUGAAUUUCCUCCUAACACUGAGAAGCCUGUUAUGACAGAAGAACAAGAGGAAAUAGCCAGAAAAUUAAGAAGUUUAGAACUGACUAUGAAAAACUUGCAAGGACUUGGGGGGUACAAAAGUGUCUCAUAUAAAAAUCUGUGCAUGUUUCCUGGUGUAUAUCUUCCUCUUGGUUUUAAAAUGCCAAAGUUUGAGAAGUAUGAUGGACAUGGCGAUCCUAUAGCACAUUUGAGACGCUAUUUCAACCAGCUAAGGGGUGCUGGAGGGAAGGAAGAAUUACUCUGGCAUAUUUUGGUGAGUCUUUCAGGUCUAGCUUCAGAAUAGUUUGUUGACCAAGACAUUGACAAAUGGAUUAGUUGGGAUGCCUAGCUAACGAAUUUGUGCAACAAUUUCAAUACAAUGUGGAGUUAAUCCUUGAUGAAAAAUCCCUAACUAGUAUAACAAAGAAGAAUACUGAGAGUUUUAGGGAGUAUGCGAUCAGAUGGCGCGAACAAGCUGCUAGAGUAAAACCGCCAAUGAAAGAAAAAAAAUAGUGGAGGUGUUUAUUAAAAUAGUGGAGGUGUUUAUUCAAGCGCAGGACGAAGCAUAUUAUCAACACUUGUUACCUGCAUUAGGCAAGCCGUUCAUUGAAGUCCUCAAAAUGGGGGAGAUGAUAGAGGAUAGAAUAAAGAUAGGUCGCAUUAUGAGUUUUGCAACAUUGAAAGCGACUACUCAAGCAAUUCAAAAAGGUUCGGGAAGUGUUGAAGGAAAGAAAAUGAGGAAGAUGCAUCUGCCAUUAUAGUUGGACAAUAAGCACAGGUAAGAGGACCAUAUCAUUGUUACCCACGGGCUCAAACCCAAGUUUAUAGCCAAGUUCCACAGAAUCUUUCCCAAAAUCCAUUAUAUUUCAUUCCCCAUCUCCAUAUCAAGUGUAUAAUGAGCAACCAUAUAUUCAACCCCCAUCUUACCCACACUGGCGUAGGCCAACUCUAUCGAGUUAUCCUUCAACUCUACAUACAUACCGAAGCCUUUCUAGGUCUGGUUUUCAAUUUAAUCCAAAUAAUGAAAUGAAACAGAAGUCGAGGGAUAACUUCACACCGAUUGGAGAGUCGUAUGCAAGUUUAUUCCAGAUAUUGGUAUAGCAGGACAUAAUCACUCCUCUCCUUGGGUAUACUCCUGACCCAUAUUCAAGAAGUUUUGAUCCUAAUGUACGAUGUGCAUAUCAUUCUGAUGUUCAGGGUCACAGUAUUGAAGAUUAUCGUGCUUUGAAAAGAGAAAUCGAAAAGAUGAUUUAAGAUAAAUCAAUCAUGGUACAAAACAUUGACAGUGAGGAAAGCUCUAGUCAUGCUGAUAUGCAAACCAGUGGCUAAGAUGUCAGGCUGAGCAAUUGAGAAGUCACCUCUCUCCUUACUAGGAAGGGGUCUGGUAGUUUGUUUUAUUUUAUUUUCUGCUAUCCGAACUAUUUCAGGGUUGUAGUUCGGGAUCUAUCUUGUUUUGUCCUUUUGUUGUUUAUGUUCAAACCCUUCUAUCUUUUGUUUCAACUAAAUGAAGUGUCCCAUUUUUCUUUGUGUUUUAAAUAUGUGUUGUUUGUUUGUUUUCUUUACAUAGUACAUUUUAUGUUGACCCUAGUGAUAUGACAUGCUAGUGAAAUUUUUAGCCAGAUCUUAAAAUCCAGUUUAAGCAUGAACUUUGAAUCACAGUGUUAAAGUUAGAAAAAGAGAGCAUAUGAGAAAAUAGAUAGAGUGCUGAGACAUUUGGUAAUAGGUUAAGGCAAUUGUUUUGAGAAUCACAAGAACAACUUGGUCAUCGAUUGAAAGGCAGGUCCUAAUUAGGUCAAAUAGUGGACGUGUGAUCCAUAUAUCAAGAGAAACAAGAAGAUAAUCAGCUCUACAAAAUCAUGAAUCACUCGAUGUGAGGGAUGCAUAACAAAGGUAGAGUUGUAUGCCGGACAAGUAAAGAAGAAGAAGUGACACACGUUCAAUUUAACUUAGUAUUGUUAAAGUAUCACACAUGAUCUUUAUCUUCCACUUUCAUAUUGCAUGCUAUGUACUUGCAUUUUCAAGGAUUGAUAUGACGAAUGCAUUUCAUUCUAUUAUCCAAACAUCGUGUCAUCCUUUGUUUACCCCAUUUGAUAUUCAAUCCUAUAUUAUUUCAUACCCCUAUUUUGGAAUCAAUAUAGUCAGCAAAGCUCAAAAGAAAAGUGUCGAGCAAAAUAAUAGAGUCAGAAAAAGUUCAAAAAAAAAGAGAAAAAAUAUGUCCAAAAAGAAAGAAAAGAGAAGAGUGUCAAGAAAAAUAGGAUCAGUAAAGGUCUCAAAGAGAAAAAGAAUCAGCAAAAAAAAAAAGAAAGAAAAAUCCGAUCAAAAAAAGAACAAGCUGUCAGAACUACGCAUGACCUGAUUCUUCUCUCUCGGGGGUGAGAUACGUAGGCUGCCCUACUAAGGGCUCGGUCUAACCAAAUAAAUAAUUUAGAGUCAUCCAGUCAAAAGAAACCGAGGCAUGAGUUAAUCCUCAUUUGUUUGAGUCGAUUCUAAAAGUUGUAAGUCCUAACCCACUUCAAGUGUCGUUUGGGCCUCAUGUCAUCCUUUCUUUCUAACCCUAUCCAAAAGCCAAGUUAAAACCAAAGAAAGACCUUCAGAUCAAUCUUUGAGAAUGUUAAGGCUAAGCAUGCAAUGGAUAUGAUGACGCAUUUUGGGAACUACUUGUUUUCCUUAGCAUAAGGAAUCAAGAGAGAAAUAAAAUAUAUGAGAGUCUUAUUGGUGAAAACCCUCAUAGACAUCGUAAGGCAAUAGUAAGUUGAGAGAGAUAAAAAUGAGAGAGUCUUAUUGGUGAAAACCCUCACGGGCACCGUGAGACGAUUGUGAGUUGGGAGAAAUGAGAAUAAGAGAGUCUCAUUAGUAAAAACCCUCACAUACACCAUAAGACAAUGGUGAGCGGAGGAAAAGACCCCUCAAGGCGUCACUAGCCGAAUGAGGUCUGAAUGCAAUUGGCCUAAGAGAGCAACUUAGUUUCAAGGCCAUUAACUUAACAAUAAUUGGUAGAAAGUUUGGAUGGAAAGAUCAGGUAGCUUAAUCCAAAAUGCAUGGCAUAAUCAUUAGAGUUGACUGUCAUAUUUAGAAAAUUUUUUCAUUUCUUUGUUUCAAAUGGGGACACUCAUUGUCUUUUCUUUCUUCUCUUUAUUUUUAUUUUGUUUUCUUUAGUCAGUUGUCCAAAUAAAAUCAUUGUUAUUUUUUUUUCUCUUGUCUUUAAGUCAAGUCCAUGUCAAAACAAGGGAGAAAAGAUCUCAAAACAUGGCUACCAGCUUCUUCAAUUGCACAAAGCAAUACAAAAGGGCUAGCACAUGCUACAAACAUGAUUGUGAGCCAAAACAAGGCAUGCAGAAAGUUUUGUCAACUGAAAAGUCUGGGAACUCAUGGAAAUACCAAGGUUCAAAGCGUUUAUCUAAGAAGCAUGACAAAGCAGGGAUACUAUAUUUGUUUCAGAGUCACUCUUAAUAAUCUGAGUUUGGGUCAAUGAUACAGCAUGCCAGUGAAACAUGCUAAUGGUUGAAAGCAAGAUUAAAUGCGACUGGGGCAAGAGCGAUUUCCACGAAAGCCAAAGCCACAAACUAACCACUGUGUUUUUAAAGUAACAAGUUUUUUUCGUAUGAAAUAGGAACACAUGCUACCUUCGAAUCAAGGAUUUCAAAGCUUAAACAUCAAGAGCUGUAAUAUUCUCAAUUCUACAAAUGCAAGAGGCAAUGUUGCUGCACAUAUUUGGUAUUCAAACCCAUGGUAAUUCAAGUGGCAUUUGUACGGAGAUGUACUUCCUUGUUUUGGUAAUUCUAGAAACAUUUGUAAAGAGACAUACUUCUUUGUUUGGGUAAUUCAAGCAACAUUUGUAAGGAGACGCACUUUCUGGUUUGGGCAAUUUGAGCGACAUUUAUAAGGAGAUGUACUUCCUUAAUUCAAGCAUUAUCAUAAGGAGACACACUUCCUUGUUUGGUUAAUUCAAGCAACAUUUUUAAGGAGAUGCACUUCCUUGUUUAGACAAUUCGAGCAACAUUUUUAAGGAGAUACACUUCCUUAAUUCAAGCGCUAUCAUAAGGAGACACACUUCCAAAGAAGACGCACUUCCUUGUUUUGGUAAUUCAAGCAGUAUUUGUUAGGAGACGAACUUUCUUAUUUGGUAAUUCGAUCGACAUUUGUGAGGAGACGCACUUCCUUGAUUGGUUAAUUCAAGCAACAUUUGUAAGGAGAUGCACUUCCUUGUUUAGGCAAUUCGAGCAACAUUUGUAAGGAGAAGCACUUUCUUGUUUGGUUAAUUCAUGAAAAAAUUUCUAAGGAGAUGCACUUCCUUGUUUGGUUAAUUCAAGAAGCAUUUGUGAGGAGACGCACUUCCUUGUUUGAGUAAUUCAAGCGACAUUGGUAAGGAGAUGCACUUCCUUGUUUUGAUAAUUCAAGCAACAUUGGUAAGGAGAUGUACUUCCUUGAUUGGGUAUUUUGAAUUUUGAUUUUUAGGUGAUGCACUUCCUUGUUUUGAUAAUUUAAGCAACAUUGGUAAGGAGAUGCACUUCCUUGAUUGGGUAUUUCGAAUUUUGAUUUUUAGGUGAUGCACUUUCUAACUUGAGUCUUGAUUUCUAGAAAAGGCACUUUCUAGUCGAGUUAUUGCAUUUAAUCCUUACGAGACGCACUUCCUUGCUAGUUUUCAUUUGUCAGGUGACACACUUUUAACUUAAAUUUGUAUCUCUAGAAGACACAGUUUGUAGUUAGAAUCCCUUACUUUAAUUCUUAGGAGAUGCACUUCCUAGUCUUGCUUAUUCAAUUAUACUCUCAAGAGAUGCAUUUCUUGGUCAGAGUCUUGACUCAUUAUUGCAACAUGCAAGUAGGUAUGAUAUGACUUUUCAAAAAAUCUUCUGAUGAUAAACUGGGGCAAGUGCCAGCGAUUUGGAACAAAGAUGAAAGGAACGAGUGCCGGGGCAGAUACCUGAGAAGCCAAGAGCUGCAAGCCACCAUUAAGUUUUUAACUGACAAAUUUUCUUCGUUGAAAUAGGGAAAAAUUUUCUUCACUUAAUUCAGCUACCAUUGGUAAUGCACAUCCGUGGGAUUUUACUUUCUACUCAGGACCCUCCUGAAAAAUGGGACUUUACUUUCUGUUCAGGACCCUUCUGAAAAAUGGGACUUUACUUUCUGUUCAGGACCCUUCUGAAAAAUGGGACUUUACUUUCUGCUCAGGACCCACCUGAAAAAUGGAAUUUUACUGUUUGUUCAGGACCCUCUUGAAAAAUGGGAAUUUACUUUCAGUUCAAGACCCUUCUGAAAAAUAGGACUUUACCUUCUGUUCAGGACCCUCCUGGAAAAUGGUAUUUUACUUUCUGUUCAGGACCCUCUUGAAAAAUGGGAUUUUACUUUCUGUUCAGGACCCUCCCGAAAAACGAGAUUUUACCUAAUGUUCAGGAUCUUCCUGAAAAAUGGGAUUCUACUUUAUGCUCAGGACCCUCCUGGAAAAUGGGACUUUAUUUUCUGUUCAGGACCCUUUUGAAAAAUGAGAAUUUACUUUCAGUUCAGGACCCUUCUGAAAAAUGGAAUUUUACUUUCUGUUCAGGACCCUCCUGAAGAAUGGGAAUUUACUUUCAGUUCAGGAACCUCCUGAAAAAUGGAACUUUACGUUCUGUUCAGGACUCUUCUAGAAAAUGGUAUUUUACUUUCUGUUCAGGACCCUCCUGAAAAAUGAGAUUUUACUUUCUGUUCAGGACCCUCUUGAAAAAUGGGACUACACUUUCAAAAAUGAAAUACUGCUUUACUAUAAUCUUUGUUUGGGAUAAUUUUCGUUCUAGUUUUAAUUCUGGUUUUAGGAGCCCGUCUGAAGAACAGGGUGAUGAAAUUACAGGUCAGGAACCCGUCAAAGGAACAGGAUGAAGAAGCUAAAAGUCGAGCAAUAAGGCGAAGAAAUUGAAAGGCAAAAAUAGCAAGUCAGGAGCCCGCCUGGAGAAUAGGGUGAAACAAUUGAAAGUCAAGCAAUAAGGCGAAGCAAUUGAAAGCUAAACAAGAAGUUGAGGGAAUUGCAAGUCAGGAGUCCACCUGAAGAAUAGGGUGAUAAAAAUCGAAUCAAGAGUCAAGAAAAACUGCAUAGAUAGGAUUUUGUAAUUUCAUUUAUGUUUUAACUUGUAAUUUUCAUUUUGAUGUAAUGAUAGAGCCGCGGACCGGAACCUAGAUGGAACCUCAGUUGACUCUCCAACUCGGUAUAGUCCAUCUCUUUCCAAUACCGGUCACUUGAUUCCUUCAUAACUUGGGUAGGUAGGAUAUCCUAAAUAAAUACUUAGUUUUCCUCCUUCUUUUUGUUUCAUUUUUGAAUAAGGGUUGGGACAAAAUUCUGUCUCAUUGUCUACUUCUUUGUCUGAAAAUACUGCGCGUUUACAUUCAAAGGGGACAUGAUGUAGACACGUAAUUUUGUCCCUCCAAAAAAUAUUUUUUGCCUAUUUACCUUAUUCUACCGUGUAUCCUCAUCCGUAUGAUAAUUCCUCUGCAAAAAGACAAAAAUAACAAACCAACAACCUACCCUAUCAAAUGGCAACAUCUCACCACCCCUCCUUUUCGUGUCCACAAAGGCAAAAAGGAUAAAUAUACACUAAAAAGGGGGUCCCACGAGGGAACCUUCCAGGAAGGUGCCAAGAACCCUUUUGUUUUUCAUUUUUUUUAUACAUACAGAGAUCACACUCCAUUUUGGGGGCAGAUAUACACAUACACAAUAGACUCUCAGGAUAUUAUUUUUUUUCACUAACCUCACGCCAAAAACAAACACCAAUAGAGAGACCAUUCUCAAUUUCAUUCGAAAAGAGACCAUCCAUCAAUACACACUACAAUUUAUUCACAGACCCAUACACCCGCUCUCAAUGAAAAAAUGCAAAACACACAGUAAAAUGGAGAAAUGAGAGACGGGAGCGAGAUCAAAAAAGGAAAUCGUGAGUUAGAAAGAAACAGAGAGAGAUCAAUUGAGAGAGGUAGAGAGAGAGCAGAGAUCUGAGAGAGAAGGAGAGAUUCGAAAAAAGGGUACUUCUCCGAUGAGUUUCACCUGAGAAAAGUCGAAACUCGGUCCGUUCUCGUUAGUUCUCGCCGUGUUUAAGCCGGCCGGAGCUUCGGCGACACGAAACAGCGACCCCCAGCCCUCAAAAGCCCCCAAAAUAUUUUCUUUUUUCUUGGUUUUAGACGAGAUUCCGCCGGAGAACGUUAAG
This 11472-nucleotide long non-coding RNA is filed under the name Capsicum annuum. RNAcentral describes it as "long non-coding RNA (CANN_LNC020746)". Lineage: Eukaryota; Viridiplantae; Streptophyta; Magnoliopsida; Solanales; Solanaceae. The record is from RNAcentral.